AAUUCCAAACUCAAAUCCGUAAACUUCAACCCUGCAAGUUUUAUAUGCCUUUUUUGAUAUUCAAAAGAUGAAAAGAGUCUUAAUAUGUUACCAUAAUGCAAAAUAAGAAGACAUACCUUCAAAACUAAAAGUGAAAAGAAAUGAAUAUUUUCCCAAAAGUUGGUCCAUAUCCUCCUGCAGUGGCCAGAGAGACAGGAUUUUCAUCGAGAUGUAAAAAAAUAAAAAAGGUAAACACAUGAAGAAAGUCAAUGUCAUUCAAUAUUUAAUAUAUAUAUACAUACAAAAAAUAUUGACUUUAUAUAUGCGGUGUAAUUUUUUGGCCGAAUGCUCUUCUCAUGUUUCAGGAACAAACUUUAAGCUUUCAAGAUUUCUCAACCUAUUUAUUAUUGUUACUUAACUAUUCUAUUUGUUUCCUUUAACAGCAUAUUGGGAUCCAUUUUGGUUAUUAUUGGCUUGUAUUUUCUUCUGUGGGGUAAAAGCAAAGAAGCCGAGAUUUACAAGAAUCCUCCAGCAACAGAAAAGAAUGGACAGUCUGCACUACCAAUUACUGCAAGUCCAACUCAUAUUUAAAACUAAUGUCAUUUUUCCUUUCUUUACCAGGGCAACUACUUCUAAUGUAUCCAGGACUAACUAUAUAAUUAACAUGUAAUAAGUGCGUUCGAAAAUGAAUCAGUAACUAACUCUUAAAAUACUUCAAACAUUUCUAAAUUUACAUUCUGCAGAUUUUAUUCACAUGCUGAAAUAACAACUAUCAUAUCAAACAUCAUUUGUCCUCAAGCAUAGUAUCAUAUCAUCUCUGGUGCAUGAUAGGAAAUAAGAAUGUGCUUCGGGACGAAAUGAAACUGCAGUUAACCAAAAGAUCAAGGUUAAGUGUACCAACAGAUAUGAAAAUUUUGAAUGAGCAGGAAUGAUGAUGCAAACAAAAUAUAUACCUUGAUACUGAGAUAAUAGCAAAGUCAGAUUAUACAUAUGCUUUAUAUACAAACUAAUGAUCAGUUGAUCCAACUUGAAGCCAAAGAACUCGUGUCUAGCUGAAUGCAUUUGAAGAUGCAUAUUUCAACUCUAGCAUAAGGAUUUACCUUUAAUUAUAUGAGCUUAUAGAGAUCUUUGUAGUAAAAAAUUUAAAAUAACAAAUUUUGAUUCAACAGAACGUAUGAUGGAG
This 1162-nucleotide long non-coding RNA is filed under the name Nicotiana tabacum (common tobacco). RNAcentral's name for it is "long non-coding RNA (NTAB_LNC009452)". Lineage: Eukaryota; Viridiplantae; Streptophyta; Magnoliopsida; Solanales; Solanaceae. The record is from RNAcentral.